UCGGCAAGUCCAACCUGCUCUCCCGCUUCACCCGCAACGAGUUCAGCCUCGAGUCCAAGUCCACCAUCAGGGGGGUCGAGUUCGCCACCCGCUCCCUCUAGGUCGACGACAAGGUCGUCAAGGCCCAGAUUUGGGACAUCGCCGGUCUUCCUAUCCCCGUCUGUUCGGCAGCAGUUGUGGAGACCAUGGAUGGGAACUAUCGCAGAAGCACCAUUUUGCCUUUUUCUAUUAGAUGCCUUUGGAUUGUUUGGCAUCAGACCUUGUUCAAGGAGAUUUGCUUUUGGUAGAUGCAGAGUAUAGAUUAAGUAUUCAAUAAAAUUCACCACAUGAGUAUACUACUUAAUAGCCAAUUUUCGUGGUCAAAUUCAGCCCUGGAUGCAAAUGGACAUCAUGAUUCUGUUAUGCGCCGAGGUCUGUGGUCAAAUUCUCGAUUGGUGUGGAACACCAUGGACAGGGCAAAAUCAGUGUGCUUUGAAAUGUAGGGCGAAUCUUGUGGAGGAGUAGGGCAAAUCAGACAUUGUCUCGCUUGUGCCGCUGUGAUAACAUGCUGAAUGUUGGUCAUGCGACUGUGUAUGAAUCUUCUGUACAUGUAUAUUAUCAGGCAUUGUUUAAUGCUGCUGAGGGUGUAACAGAGGUGAUGUUUGUACUACUGUUGAAACAAAUAGCCGAGGAAGUCACAAUGUUCUUCUGUUAAGCCAUUGUCUCAUGUACUUACAAAUUUCUGGUUGACGUGUAGUGUUUCAACCAACUGUAGAAAAAUCAGUUUGAUGUAUGGAUGCUUCAUGCGGUGGUAGCUAAUGAUCUCUGUACUGAUGACAGUUUUGUGAUCAGGAUCUAAUGUCGUCGAGGUGGCUGCUGCUCUUACCGAAGAUCAGAAGAAGCCUGGAUAUGUGCACCAAGUUUUAGUUGAUGUUGCCACCAAGUUUUGGUGCAUGUGUAUUUGUUUUUUGAUUGUAUGUACACUUGUUGGAUCGUGCAAUAUGUGCUAUUGUACAUGUGGUAUUGUGAGUUUCAUUGAUCGAUUUUUGGAUUUGAUCAUUUAAUUGAAAGAAUGUUUUGAUUGUU
Triticum aestivum (bread wheat) is the source of this 1065-nucleotide long non-coding RNA. RefSeq lists it as uncharacterized. The transcript has 5 exons. NCBI's taxonomy places the organism in Eukaryota, Viridiplantae, Streptophyta, Magnoliopsida, Poales, Poaceae. The record is from RefSeq and is a predicted model, not a curated record.